CGUGCCUAAUACAUGCAAGUAGAACGCUGAAGAGAGGAGCUUGCUCUUCUUGGAUGAGUUGCGAACGGGUGAGUAACGCGUAGGUAACCUGCCUUGUAGCGGGGGAUAACUAUUGGAAACGAUAGCUAAUACCGCAUAACAAUGGAUGACACAUGUCAUUUAUUUGAAAGGGGCAAAUGCUCCACUACAAGAUGGACCUGCGUUGUAUUAGCUAGUAGGUGAGGUAACGGCUCACCUAGGCGACGAUACAUAGCCGACCUGAGAGGGUGAUCGGCCACACUGGGACUGAGACACGGCCCAGACUCCUACGGGAGGCAGCAGUAGGGAAUCUUCGGCAAUGGGGGCAACCCUGACCGAGCAACGCCGCGUGAGUGAAGAAGGUUUUCGGAUCGUAAAGCUCUGUUGUAAGUCAAGAACGAGUGUGAGAGUGGAAAGUUCACACUGUGACGGUAGCUUACCAGAAAGGGACGGCUAACUACGUGCCAGCAGCCGCGGUAAUACGUAGGUCCCGAGCGUUGUCCGGAUUUAUUGGGCGUAAAGCGAGCGCAGGCGGUUUGAUAAGUCUGAAGUUAAAGGCUGUGGCUCAACCAUAGUUCGCUUUGGAAACUGUCAAACUUGAGUGCAGAAGGGGAGAGUGGAAUUCCAUGUGUAGCGGUGAAAUGCGUAGAUAUAUGGAGGAACACCGGUGGCGAAAGCGGCUCUCUGGUCUGUAACUGACGCUGAGGCUCGAAAGCGUGGGGAGCGAACAGGAUUAGAUACCCUGGUAGUCCACGCCGUAAACGAUGAGUGCUAGGUGUUGGAUCCUUUCCGGGAUUCAGUGCCGCAGCUAACGCAUUAAGCACUCCGCCUGGGGAGUACGACCGCAAGGUUGAAACUCAAAGGAAUUGACGGGGGCCCGCACAAGCGGUGGAGCAUGUGGUUUAAUUCGAAGCAACGCGAAGAACCUUACCAGGUCUUGACAUCCCGAUGCUAUUUCUAGAGAUAGAAAGUUACUUCGGUACAUCGGUGACAGGUGGUGCGUGGUUGUCGUCAGCUCGUGUCGUGAGAUGUUGGGUUAAGUCCCGCAACGAGCGCAACCCCUAUUGUUAGUUGCCAUCAUUCAGUUGGGCACUCUAGCGAGACUGCCGGUAAUAAACCGGAGGAAGGUGGGGAUGACGUCAAAUCAUCAUGCCCCUUAUGACCUGGGCUACACACGUGCUACAAUGGUUGGUACAACGAGUUGCGAGUCGGUGACGGCAAGCUAAUCUCUUAAAGCCAAUCUCAGUUCGGAUUGUAGGCUGCAACUCGCCUACAUGAAGUCGGAAUCGCUAGUAAUCGCGGAUCAGCACGCCGCGGUGAAUACGUUCCCGGGCCUUGUACACACCGCCCGUCACACCACGAGAGUUUGUAACACCCGAAGUCGGUGAGGUAACCUUUUGGAGCCAGCCGCCUAAGGUGGGAUAGAUGAUUGGGGUGAAGUCA
RNAcentral lists this ribosomal RNA (1461 nucleotides) under uncultured organism. RNAcentral describes it as "SSU rRNA". It matches the Rfam family "Bacterial small subunit ribosomal RNA". The record is from RNAcentral.